GUUAACGCUGGCGGCGUGCCUAACACAUGCAAGUCGAGCGGAACAUUCGGUGUAGCAAUACAUCGGAUGUUUAGCGGCAGACGGGUGAGUAACACGUGAGCAAUCUUCCCUAAAGAGGGGGAUAACUUACCGAAAGGUAAGCUAAUACCCCAUACCUCCCACCGCAAGGUGGGAUGAAAGCCGCAAGGCGCUUUAGGAGGGGCUCGCGGCCUAUCAGCUAGUUGGCGGGAUAACAGCCCACCAAGGCGAUGACGGGUAGCCGGCCUGAAAGGGCGAACGGCCACAAGGGCACUGAGACACGGGCCCUACUCCUACGGGAGGCAGCAGUGGGGAAUUUUGGUCAAUGGGCGCAAGCCUGAACCAGCAACGCCGCGUGAGGGAUGAAGUCCUUCGGGAUGUAAACCUCUUUUGAUCCUGACGAACACUGACGGUAAGGGUCGAAUAAGCAACGGCUAACUACGU
This 462-nucleotide ribosomal RNA is filed under the name uncultured bacterium. Its description in RNAcentral is "partial 16S ribosomal RNA". It matches the Rfam family "Bacterial small subunit ribosomal RNA", at positions 29 to 506 of the family's 1533-position model. The record is from RNAcentral.